This 496-nucleotide ribosomal RNA is filed under the name uncultured bacterium. RNAcentral's name for it is "partial 16S ribosomal RNA". It matches the Rfam family "Bacterial small subunit ribosomal RNA", at positions 28 to 507 of the family's 1533-position model. The record is from RNAcentral.
GACGAACGCUGGCGGCGUGCCUAAUACAUGCAAGUUGAGCGCUGAAGGUUGGUACUUGUACCAACUGGAUGAGCAGCGAACGGGUGAGUAACGCGUGGGGAAUCUGCCUUUGAGCGGGGGACAACAUUUGGAAACGAAUGCUAAUACCGCAUAAAAACUUUAAACACAAGUUUUAAGUUUGAAAGAUGCAAUUGCAUCACUCAAAGAUGAUCCCGCGUUGUAUUAGCUAGUUGGUGAGGUAAAGGCUCACCAAGGCGAUGAUACAUAGCCGACCUGAGAGGGUGAUCGGCCACAUUGGGACUGAGACACGGCCCAAACUCCUACGGGAGGCAGCAGUAGGGAAUCUUCGGCAAUGGACGAAAGUCUGACCGAGCAACGCCGCGUGAGUGAAGAAGGUUUUCGGAUCGUAAACUCUGUUGGUAGAGAAGAACGUUGGUGAGAGUGGAAAGCUCAUCAAGUGACGGUAACUACCCAGAAAGGGACGGCUAACUACGUG